This 76-nucleotide transfer RNA is filed under the name Hadrothemis infesta. RNAcentral describes it as "tRNA-Val". Lineage: Eukaryota; Metazoa; Arthropoda; Insecta; Odonata; Libellulidae. The record is from RNAcentral.
GGUAUGACUGUGCAAUUCAGUAUAACUUGAUGAUUUUCAUCUUACUUUAUUUAUGGACUAACCUUUAUGAGAAAUA